This 90-nucleotide transfer RNA is filed under the name Felis catus (domestic cat). It matches the Rfam family "tRNA". Rfam says of the family: Transfer RNA (tRNA) molecules are approximately 80 nucleotides in length. Their secondary structure includes four short double-helical elements and three loops (D, anti-codon, and T loops). The record is from Rfam by way of RNAcentral. Lineage: Eukaryota; Metazoa; Chordata; Mammalia; Carnivora; Felidae.
GCCUGGGUGGCUCAGUCAGUUAAGUGUCUGACUUCCAUUCAGGUCAUGCUCUCACGGUUUGGUUUGUAGGUUCGAGCCCUGUAUCAGGCU